AUGAACGCUAGCGACAGGCCUAACACAUGCAAGUCGAGGGGCAGCACAAGGAGCAAUCUGAGGUGGCGACCGGCGCACGGGUGAGUAACACGUAUGCAACCUGCCUGUAAGCGGGGAAUAACCCGUUGAAAGACGGACUAAUACCGCAUAAUACUAAAUUACUGCAUGGUAAUUUAUUUAAACAUUUAUGGCUUACAGAUGGGCAUGCGCAUGAUUAGCUAGUUGGAGAGGUAACGGCUCCCCAAGGCAACGAUCAUUAGGGGUUCUGAGAGGAAGGUCCCCCACACUGGUACUGAGACACGGACCAGACUCCUACGGGAGGCAGCAGUGAGGAAUAUUGGUCAAUGGACGAGAGUCUGAACCAGCCAAGUCGCGUGCAGGAAGAAUGUCCUUAAUGGAUUGUAAACUGCUUUUGCAGGGGAAUAAAGUGCAUCACGUGUGAUGUUUUGUAUGCACUCUGCGAAUAAGGAUCGGCUAACUCCGUGCCAGCCGCCGC
This 496-nucleotide ribosomal RNA is filed under the name uncultured bacterium. RNAcentral's name for it is "bacterial SSU rRNA". It matches the Rfam family "Bacterial small subunit ribosomal RNA", at positions 29 to 518 of the family's 1533-position model. The record is from RNAcentral.